AUGAGCGCCUCGGCGACGAGUCCGCCAGCCUACAGGCGCGUGGAGGGCCUCCUGCUAGGGUACUUUUUCAGCGGAGACAGCGUCCGCUCUGCCCUCACAUACCAGCCACAACCGGGUGACAUCUUCGUGGCAGGAUACCCCAAGUCCGGAACCACCUGGACACAGUACAUCCUCUGGAGCAUCUUCAGUGGCGGUGUCCCUCCUAAGAGCAUCGCUGAAUUCGAGCAGAAGAUGCCCGUACUGGAGAGCGCCGGGGCCCAGGGCAUCGCGAAAGUGUAUCCUGACAGACCGUGGGCAAUCAAGACGCACCUUCCGUUGUCCAUGCUUCGGUACUCCGAACGGGCGAAGUAUGUCUUCAUCGCGAGGAACCCCUACGACUGUUGCGUCUCGUAUUACCAUCACACCAAAGCUUUUCCAGCAUAUCUUUACGAACACGGCUGCUUCGACCAGUUCUUUGACAUGUUUGUGGAGGGACAAGGGGAGUAUGGCGAUUACUUCGACCAUCUGCUUCCCUGGUACGAGCAUCGAGAAGACCCAAACGUCCUGUUCUUGACGUAUGAAGGUUUCAAGACAGACACCGAAGGCUGGGUGCUCAAGAUGGCCGACUUCGUGGGAGAAGAGUAUGGGGAGCGGCUGAGACGUGACCCGCAAGCGCUAAGACUGGUUAUAAGCCUGUCAAGCGUCGAAAGCAUGAAGAAGAUUUUUAACAGGUCACUUAGUACCAAACACGGCAAUGCGUCGAAGGCUUUGAGCAGUGCCAAGGUAACGUCAGAAACCUAUGAGGAGCUCAUUAGGGUCGCGCUUACGAGGCCGAUGACGGGCGAUUUUGUACGAAAGGGGGUAGUCGGAGACUGGAGGAAUCACUUUUCGACGGAGCAACUGGAGAGGAUGAAGAAAUGGAUAAUACGGAAGACAUCGGAAAGCGACGUCAUGCAGCUUUGGAAUGACUGUGAUAUUCCGCAACUCUAAUUUCUACAAGCUGACAAAAAAAAAGAAAAAAAAAAACAAGAGCGAGUUUCUAAAGAAAUUGUUAUAAUGCUGACGAGCUGAUGCAAGUCUUCACGUGUGUCAUGGACGCUGGCUCAACCUAUCAAAUAUGCACCGUCAUCGUCAAGUGUGUGUACGGAAACAUUGGUAGUUCAUUGGAAACGCACGAUGAGCAUGCCCAGUUCUUAGCAAAGACAUAAAAGCAUGCCAGGGGCGCUGAGUGCCGUUUCAGAUGCAGCAAACCUGAACAAAAAUUAGUUUAGCUCUUGCUCUGCAGAACUUGAGCAAUAAAACUUAUUUUUUUAACUAUAGCUAGCGGCAAAACGACCCUUUCCGGAAGCAUUAGUCGUUUUUAUCUCUGCUGCGACGGCGCUUCGCCACCGUAGACGCCCGAGAUGUGAAGAGCGAGUUCGUCUGCUUUUUUUCGCAAGGUCACAUCGAUUGACGCACUUUGACCGCCCCUUAUCAUUGCCAGCUGGCAUGCGGCGGAAGGCCCAGUCGUCUGCCAUUCUUCGUGGACGCCGGAGCGUGAAGGAACGGGCCAAAGAAACGCAGGCUGUAGUCGGGAUCCAAGAAAGCGAGGAUGCAAUCGACCGGAAAGUCCACUCCGGUCUAUAGAGAGAUCGAAGGACUCUACCUCAGCUACUACUUCAGCGACGAGAGCGUCCGCUCAGCCCUCGCCUACAAGCCAAGGCCAGAUGACGUGUUUAUUGUGAGCUACCCGAAAUGCGGUACCACCUG
RNAcentral lists this unclassified non-coding RNA (1728 nucleotides) under Ixodes scapularis (black-legged tick). RNAcentral describes it as "sulfotransferase ssu-1, transcript variant X3". Lineage: Eukaryota; Metazoa; Arthropoda; Arachnida; Ixodida; Ixodidae. The record is from RNAcentral.